This 843-nucleotide ribosomal RNA is filed under the name Curtobacterium sp. ECP34. RNAcentral's name for it is "bacterial SSU rRNA". It matches the Rfam family "Bacterial small subunit ribosomal RNA", at positions 49 to 897 of the family's 1533-position model. The record is from RNAcentral. Lineage: Bacteria; Bacillati; Actinomycetota; Actinomycetes; Micrococcales; Microbacteriaceae.
CUACCAUGCAAGUCGAACGAUGAUGCCCAGCUUGCUGGGUGGAUUAGUGGCGAACGGGUGAGUAACACGUGAGUAACCUGCCCCUGACUCUGGGAUAAGCGUUGGAAACGACGUCUAAUACUGGAUAUGACUGCCGGCCGCAUGGUCUGGUGGUGGAAAGAUUUUUUGGUUGGGGAUGGACUCGCGGCCUAUCAGCUUGUUGGUGAGGUAAUGGCUCACCAAGGCGACGACGGGUAGCCGGCCUGAGAGGGUGACCGGCCACACUGGGACUGAGACACGGCCCAGACUCCUACGGGAGGCAGCAGUGGGGAAUAUUGCACAAUGGGCGAAAGCCUGAUGCAGCAACGCCGCGUGAGGGAUGACGGCCUUCGGGUUGUAAACCUCUUUUAGUAGGGAAGAAGGGAGCUUGCUCUUGACGGUACCUGCAGAAAAAGCACCGGCUAACUACGUGCCAGCAGCCGCGGUAAUACGUAGGGUGCAAGCGUUGUCCGGAAUUAUUGGGCGUAAAGAGCUCGUAGGCGGUUUGUCGCGUCUGCUGUGAAAUCCCGAGGCUCAACCUCGGGCUUGCAGUGGGUACGGGCAGACUAGAGUGCGGUAGGGGAGAUUGGAAUUCCUGGUGUAGCGGUGGAAUGCGCAGAUAUCAGGAGGAACACCGAUGGCGAAGGCAGAUCUCUGGGCCGUAACUGACGCUGAGGAGCGAAAGCAUGGGGAGCGAACAGGAUUAGAUACCCUGGUAGUCCAUGCCGUAAACGUUGGGCGCUAGAUGUAGGGACCUUUCCACGGUUUCUGUGUCGUAGCUAACGCAUUAAGCGCCCCGCCUGGGGAGUACGGCCGCAAGGCUAA